UUUUUUUUUCAGGUAGCUUUUUCUUAUGCCUAUUUAGCUAGCGGGCCAUUGGUCAUAGCCAAAAUUCGUCGAAGGGACAAAACCAAAAUAAAUAAGAGAAAGAAAGGGAAGUUUUUUCUUUCUUUCAAUCCAAAUAAGAGAACAAAGAAAGCAUUCAAAAAUGAAAGUUAGAUAAAGAAGUGUUAGUAAGAACUAGCACUAGACUUCUUCCCCCCUUUCUUUUCGACUUUUUCUCUCUCCUUUUGUUUGUGCUUCCACCCGGGCUUUUCAUUCUCUUUUAUAGAGACCCGAGGAAAUUCUAUAUAAUAAUAAAUGUAGAAAGGUGAGGGUGAGGUACUUUCCCCGGCAUACGGAAAGAAAAUCCAGGAUGACGGCUUUCAAAAGACGAGUAAGGGACGGGGAGAGGGCGACUGAAAAGGAGGCUCGACCUACAGGGAGAGGGAGGCUCUCGAAACCAAACGAGACUAGAAAGAACAUGGGAAUUCGCACCAUUCAUAUGAGUGCUUUUGUUUUGUCUCUUCGAGACAACAAAACAAAAGGACAGCCCUCUCUAUAUCUCGGUCUCGGUUUAGCAUCAUAUNAGUUCUCCUUGUUCUCCUCUUUGAAUUUAACUAUUGAGUUUAGGUUGAUGCUUGCAAAAAUGUCAAGCUGACAGGGUUAGGUAGAAGUAGUUACAAUAGCAAAGGGGGGCUAGAAACUAGUUGUGUGAGUGGAAUGACCCAACUGGACCUAGUCAGCCUGAACUAUUUUGCAGUUCUAGAGGACCAUGAACAAGAAGAGGCAAAGAUGCCAGAUUUGGACAAUGCUGAACUAGAAGAGAUUGCUUAGGAUAAGUGUUUGGGUAAUAAAGCCGAAGAAGGUGUAGUCAAGGAGAGAACUCCCGGGGAGAGUGAUUUGGCUCAUAGAAGUGAGGAUCUAAAAGAGAGGAUCAACUAUAGCAGUGACUAAGGGAGACUUGUUCUGUGAUAAACAAAUGACUUCAAACCUUAGGGCAUCCAAAAGAGGUGAACCUGAGAAAAAAAGUAAGAGUAAGUGUUCAAGUACUAGUGCUAUGACCUUAAAGGUGGAAGAUCCUCCCCUAGUUCGAAUCAUCUUGAAUGAAGAGUGGCUGAACAAGAUGCAAAACAUAUCAACAAUAUUAAAUUCUAAGAAAGAGGGCGGGAGUCCUUCCUGUGUAUGUGCCUUUAUUUAUAUUCUUUCUAUUUUUGAAUUACCAAUGGAGAAUCUUUCUAAAAAAAUCUCUCUGGCAAAAUGCAAUUCGUCUAGUCAAAUUAAAGAUGCACCUUGCUUUUUUUUUUUCAGGUAGCUUUUUCUUAUGCCUAUUUAGCUAGCGGGCCAUUGGUCAUAGCCAAAAUUCGUCGAAGGGACAAAACCAAAAUAAAUAAGAGAAAGAAAGGGAAGUUUUUUCUUUCUUUCAAUCCAAAUAAGAGAACAAAGAAAGCAUUCAAAAAUGAAAGUUAGAUAAAGAAGUGUUAGUAAGAACUAGCACUAGACUUCUUCCCCCCUUUCUUUUCGACUUUUUCUCUCUCCUUUUGUUUGUACUUCCACCAUGGCUUUUCAUUCUAUUUUAUAGAGACCCGAGGAAAUUCUAUAUAAUAACAAAUAUAGAAAGGUGAGGGUGAGGUACUUUCCCC
RNAcentral lists this long non-coding RNA (1634 nucleotides) under Solanum pimpinellifolium. RNAcentral describes it as "long non-coding RNA (SPIM_LNC000096)". Lineage: Eukaryota; Viridiplantae; Streptophyta; Magnoliopsida; Solanales; Solanaceae. The record is from RNAcentral.